UAUAUGUUUCUAAGCGUAACUACGACACGUUUUGGCACACACUACCUACACAUUUAACAUCAUGAUAAUGUGUACACAUAUAUUUUAAUCUAAAGAUAUAUGUGUUUAAGCUUAACUACGACACGUUGUGAACACACUACCUACACAUUUAACAAAUGGGUUUAAAACCUGACAAUCAGUAUGCUGCUACUUUGAAAGUCGCAACUUUUCUAGUGUUUAAUGUGCACAAACUAUCAAUUCACAUUGGAUUCUUAUUCUGAUGAUAGCUGACGCAAUUGUCUAACGCAAUCAAAAG
This 295-nucleotide long non-coding RNA is filed under the name Mytilus galloprovincialis (Mediterranean mussel). Lineage: Eukaryota; Metazoa; Mollusca; Bivalvia; Mytilida; Mytilidae. The record is from RNAcentral.